CAGUUAUUGGGUAUCAAAACCUAAUAGCGAAAUUAACAUAACUUUUAUGGGAUUAGUUUUUAGAUUAUUUAUAGUCUAUUAAUUCAAUCCCGGGGCGUUCUAUAUAGUUAUGUAUAAUAAUAUUUAUAUUAUUUAUACCUCUAACUAGAGCGUACCUUGAGCAUAUAUGCUGUGACCCGAAAGAUGGUGAACUAUACUUGAUCAGGUUGAAGUCAGGGGAAACCCUGAUGGAAGACCGAAACAGUUCUGACGUGCAAAUCGAUUGUCAGAAUUGAGUAUAGGGGCGAAAGACCAAUCGAACCAUCUAGUAGCUGGUUCCCUCCGAAGUUUCCCUCAGGAUAGCUGGUGCAUUUAAAUAUUAUGUAAAAUAAUCUUAUCUGGUAAAGCGAAUGAUUAGAGGCCUUAGGGUCGAAACGACCUUAACCUAUUCUCAAACUUUAAAUGGGUAAGAACCUCACCUUUCUUGGUAUGAAGGUUGUGGUUGUGAUAUAAUGUGCCCAGUGGGCCACUUUUGGUAAGCAGAACUGGCGCUGUGGGAUGAACCAAACGUAAUGUUACGGUGCCCAAAUUAACAACUCAUGCAGAUACCAUGAAAGGCGUUGGUUGCUUAAAACAGCAGACGGUGGACAUGGAAGUCGUA
RNAcentral lists this ribosomal RNA (640 nucleotides) under Ravinia pusiola. RNAcentral describes it as "eukaryotic LSU rRNA". It matches the Rfam family "Eukaryotic large subunit ribosomal RNA", at positions 688 to 1265 of the family's 3401-position model. The record is from RNAcentral. Lineage: Eukaryota; Metazoa; Arthropoda; Insecta; Diptera; Sarcophagidae.